This is a non-coding RNA of Podarcis lilfordi (Lilford's wall lizard), 74 nucleotides long. The record is from the annotation of a GenBank genome assembly. NCBI's taxonomy places the organism in Eukaryota, Metazoa, Chordata, Lepidosauria, Squamata, Lacertidae.
UGGCAUAGCUCAGUUGGCAGAGCAUGAGAUUCUUAAUCUCAGGGUUGUGGAUUCAAGUCUCAUAUUGGGCAAAA